CUUUGCUUAGCCCUGUAGGUAUCUUUGUAUGGUUGCAAAGCAGCCUCCAACUGCCGCUUGAAGUUGAUGUUCUGCUCCAUCAGGGGACAAAGCUCAAAAACUGACAAUGCAGUCCCCAGCUGGACAAUCUCGGAGAGCCCUUGCACAGUGAAGGGCUUGUGAACUCUUGCACCUCCUGUGCCUCAGUGUCUCCCAGGCCUUCACUGCCAAGAGUGCAUGCAAAGCUGGCAAUGUGCUGCACCUCAUCUGCCAAAGAUGGAACAGCUGCAGUGGGUGAAGAGGUGACGGCCAAAGAGGUGUCCACAGCUGCCAAGAAUGCCUGCAGAACCUCAAGGCACUGAAGGGACAGCUGAGGAGACUGAGAAGCAGACUGGCCAGGGACUUCACAUAAGAUAUAGAGCUAAAUUUCAAUAAAACAUGUUGCAUAUUUAUUGUAAAUAAAAUUAAAACUGUUUAAAUCGUAUGUAGAAAUAAAAUAGUAAUAUAACAUGCUGCAUAGGGAAAGGGGGGUUGCUUUAAAAGAGAAUGAAAUGGUCUUGCUCUGAAUGUUCUUUUGUUGCAGUUGGAUAAAAAGGUCUCUGGAUCAAGCCCAGCCAGAGAAAAGGCUCUCUUAGCCAGUCCACUCAGGGCCAAGAGAUGUUCUGAGAGGCUCAAGAAGUAGCUCAAGAUAGACUUCUCCUUUCCAGGAGGCUCAUACAGAGCUUCUCUGCCCACAACCUGAAUGCCUUGAAGCCUGAUUUUGUAGAGAAGCUGCCUCUGGAAGGGAAUGGGAUGCUGAUGCAGAAGGGGAAGUUUGAUUUUGGGCAGGGCUGCACAACUUCAGCCCCCCAGCUACUGUUUCAGGACAGUUCCCACCAACCCUGACUAUUGUCUUUAGGAUUGCUUUAGGAUUUUAAUGCAGGAAUUUAUAUGUAAUAUAAAAUUAGAACAAUGAUAUGGAUAGCAAUGGUUAUGAAAUGCAAUGAAAUAUGAUUUUCUUGGGGGUGGGGGGAACCAACACUAUCUACAGUUGUCACAAGAAAAAUGGUUUCUCUUUGGUGACAAGUAUGCAGUUUUUAAAAUGUAAUUAUGUUGUACAGAAUGGUCACAGGAAACCUCCAAAAUGAGCAGGAUCAGAUGUUCUCCUAACCUAAUAUGAAGCCCAUCUCAACCAACUGCCAGUUCCAGCACUGGAAAUAGCAUCAUGGCUUUGAUUAUUUAAUAACCAGAGGCUAUUCAUAAUUACAGACUGAGUACAGAAUCCACUGAGAAAUCCUUCUUUUUAAGCCUUAUUGAAGUAAAUGAAAUCUGCACAAGA
Long non-coding RNA from Hemicordylus capensis (graceful crag lizard), 1297 nucleotides. RefSeq lists it as uncharacterized. NCBI's taxonomy places the organism in Eukaryota, Metazoa, Chordata, Lepidosauria, Squamata, Cordylidae. The transcript has 3 exons. The record is from RefSeq and is a predicted model, not a curated record.